This is a long non-coding RNA of Hippocampus comes (tiger tail seahorse), 177 nucleotides long. RefSeq lists it as uncharacterized. NCBI's taxonomy places the organism in Eukaryota, Metazoa, Chordata, Actinopteri, Syngnathiformes, Syngnathidae. The record is from RefSeq and is a predicted model, not a curated record. The transcript is spliced from 3 exons.
AGGAACACAAUGUCUUCAACCGUGUUAGUGUGUCUGCUGGGAUCUUUAGCCAUGUACUAUCAGGUUUCUGCCGAUGGGACGUCCUACAAUGCUGAUAUGUUGGUGGAAAAUAAUGUCACAGUACAAGCACGGAGCAUCCUGUCAGUUUUGAAUGCGAGAAGCUACCUCCAGCUGAUC